CCCUUAGAUGUCCUGGGCCGCACGCGUGCUACACUGAUGCAUACAGCGAGUACUCCCAGCUCCGAGAGGCUGCUGGUAAUCAGCAAUAUGCAUCGUGAUGGGGAUAGAUCUUUGGAAUUAUAGAUCUUGAACGAGGAAUUCCUAGUAAUCGCAGGUCAUCACCCUGCGUUGACUAAGUCCCUGCCCUUUGUACACACCGCCCGUCGCCCCUACCGAUUUCGAGUGAUCCGGUGAAUCAUUCGGACCGCGGCCCCUAGGCAUGCGGAAAGUCUAGUAAACCAUAUCACUUAGAGGAAGGAGAAGUCGUAACA
This 311-nucleotide ribosomal RNA is filed under the name uncultured eukaryote. Its description in RNAcentral is "partial 18S ribosomal RNA". It matches the Rfam family "Eukaryotic small subunit ribosomal RNA", at positions 1470 to 1796 of the family's 1831-position model. The record is from RNAcentral.